This 246-nucleotide ribosomal RNA is filed under the name uncultured bacterium. RNAcentral's name for it is "partial 16S ribosomal RNA". It matches the Rfam family "Bacterial small subunit ribosomal RNA", at positions 523 to 769 of the family's 1533-position model. The record is from RNAcentral.
AUACGUAGGGGGCGAGCGUUGUCCGGAAUCAUUGGGCGUAAAGGGCGCGUAGGCGGGCUUGUAAGUCUGAUGUGAAAGUGCGGAGCUUAACUCCGUAAAGCAUUGGAAACUGUGAGUCUUGAGGACAGGAGAGGAAAGUGGAAUUCCACGUGUAGCGGUGAAAUGCGUAGAUAUGUGGAGGAACACCAGUGGCGAAGGCGACUUUCUGGACUGUAACUGACGCUGAGGCGCGAAAGCGUGGGGAGC